RNAcentral lists this ribosomal RNA (502 nucleotides) under uncultured bacterium. Its description in RNAcentral is "partial 16S ribosomal RNA". It matches the Rfam family "Bacterial small subunit ribosomal RNA", at positions 30 to 523 of the family's 1533-position model. The record is from RNAcentral.
AUUGAACGCUGGCGGAAUGCUUUACACAUGCAAGUCGAACGGCAGCAUAGGUGCUUGCACCUGAUGGCGAGUGGCGAACGGGUGAGUAAUAUAUCGGAACGUGCCCAGUCGUGGGGGAUAACGUAGUGAAGAUUACGCUAAUACCGCAUACGAUCUAAGGAUGAAAGCGGGGGAUCGCAAGACCUCGCGCGAUUGGAGCGGCCGAUAUCAGAUUAGGUAGUUGGUGAGGUAAAGGCUCACCAAGCCAACGAUCUGUAGCUGGUCUGAGAGGACGACCAGCCACACUGGAACUGAGACACGGUCCAGACUCCUACGGGAGGCAGCAGUGGGGAAUUUUGGACAAUGGACGCAAGUCUGAUCCAGCCAUUCCGCGUGCAGGACGAAGGCCUUCGGGUUGUAAACUGCUUUUGUACAGAACAAAAAGGUCUCUAUUAAUACUAGGGGCUCAUGACGGUACUGUAAGAAUAAGCACCGGCUAACUACGUGCCAGCAGCCGCUGUAA